This 156-nucleotide ribosomal RNA is filed under the name Tolypocladium capitatum. RNAcentral's name for it is "5.8S ribosomal RNA". It matches the Rfam family "5.8S ribosomal RNA". From Rfam's summary of the family: 5.8S ribosomal RNA (5.8S rRNA) is a component of the large subunit of the eukaryotic ribosome. It is transcribed by RNA polymerase I as part of the 45S precursor that also contains 18S and 28S rRNA. Lineage: Eukaryota; Fungi; Ascomycota; Sordariomycetes; Hypocreales; Ophiocordycipitaceae. The record is from RNAcentral.
AAACUUCAACAACGGAUCUCUUGGCUCUGGCAUCGAUGAAGAACGCAGCGAAAUGCGAUAAGUAAUGUGAAUUGCAGAAUUCAGUGAACCAUCGAAUCUUUGAACGCACAUUGCGCCCGCCAGCAUUCUGGCGGGCAUGCCUGUUCGAGCGUCGUU